This 834-nucleotide ribosomal RNA is filed under the name Lentzea sp. SIA_Cu_E2. RNAcentral describes it as "bacterial SSU rRNA". It matches the Rfam family "Bacterial small subunit ribosomal RNA", at positions 53 to 904 of the family's 1533-position model. Lineage: Bacteria; Bacillati; Actinomycetota; Actinomycetes; Pseudonocardiales; Pseudonocardiaceae. The record is from RNAcentral.
CCAUGCAGUCGAGCGGUAAGGCCCUUCGGGGUACACGAGCGGCGAACGGGUGAGUAACACGUGGGUAACCUGCCCUGUACUCUGGGAUAAGCCUUGGAAACGAGGUCUAAUACCGGAUACGACACCGGAUCGCAUGGUCUGGUGUGGAAAGUUCCGGCGGUAUGGGAUGGACCCGCGGCCUAUCAGCUUGUUGGUGGGGUAAUGGCCUACCAAGGCGACGACGGGUAGCCGGCCUGAGAGGGUGACCGGCCACACUGGGACUGAGACACGGCCCAGACUCCUACGGGAGGCAGCAGUGGGGAAUAUUGCACAAUGGGCGAAAGCCUGAUGCAGCGACGCCGCGUGAGGGAUGACGGCCUUCGGGUUGUAAACCUCUUUCAGCAGGGACGAAGCGCAAGUGACGGUACCUGCAGAAGAAGCACCGGCUAACUACGUGCCAGCAGCCGCGGUAAUACGUAGGGUGCGAGCGUUGUCCGGAAUUAUUGGGCGUAAAGAGCUCGUAGGCGGUUUGUCGCGUCGGCCGUGAAAACUUGGGGCUUAACUCCAAGCUUGCGGUCGAUACGGGCAGACUUGAGUUCGGCAGGGGAGACUGGAAUUCCUGGUGUAGCGGUGAAAUGCGCAGAUAUCAGGAGGAACACCGGUGGCGAAGGCGGGUCUCUGGGCCGACACUGACGCUGAGGAGCGAAAGCGUGGGGAGCGAACAGGAUUAGAUACCCUGGUAGUCCACGCCGUAAACGGUGGGUGCUAGGUGUGGGGGGCUUCCACGCCCUCUGUGCCGCAGCUAACGCAUUAAGCACCCCGCCUGGGGAGUACGGCCGCAAGGCUAAAACUCAA